CCUACGGGAGGCAGCAGUGGGGAAUUUUGGACAAUGGGGGCAACCCUGAUCCAGCAAUGCCGCGUGAGUGAAGAAGGCCUUCGGGUUGUAAAGCUCUUUUGUCAGGGAAGAAACGGUGUGAGCCAAUAUCUCAUGCUAAUGACGGUACCUGAAGAAUAAGCACCGGCUAACUACGUGCCAGCAGCCGCGGUAAUACGUAGGGUGCAAGCGUUAAUCGGAAUUACUGGGCGUAAAGCGUGCGCAGGCGGUUUUGUAAGACUGUCGUGAAAUCCCCGGGCUCAACCUGGGAAUGGCGAUGGUGACUGCAAGGCUAGAGUUUGGCAGAGGGGGGUAGAAUUUCACGUGUAGCAGUGAAAUGCGUAGAUAUGUGGAGGAACACCGAUGGCGAAGGCAGCCCCCUGGGUCAAAACUGACGCUCAUGCACGAAAGCGUGGGGAGCAAACAGGAUUAGAUACCCUGGUAGUCCACGCCCUAAACGAUGUCUACUAGUUGUCGGGUUUUAAUUAACUUGGUAACGCAGCUAACGCGUGAAGUAGACCGCCUGGGGGAGGACGGUCGCGAAGAAGUAAACUUAACAAAGAAAGUUAGUUAGGCGUUGAGACGNGCCGACGGACGACGACGAGGGAGGAGG
Molecule: ribosomal RNA, 631 nt
Filed under: uncultured bacterium
Lineage: Bacteria
Description: bacterial SSU rRNA
Rfam family: Bacterial small subunit ribosomal RNA (bases 1-542)
Source: RNAcentral